CCCACCUCUGCUCUGUCCGCCGCCGCCCAUCGGAAUUCGCCACCAACGGCGACCAACCUCCAAAUCACCCUAAACUUUUACCAUUUCUUCCUCUCAACCUCCUCUCCAUGAAUCCAAGCCUCAUAUCCUCCAAAUUUCACGAAUCUAGCCUAAAUCAAAGCCCUGGCCACCACUUUUUGAUAAAUUCGUGGAGAUUGAGCCAAUUUUCU
RNAcentral lists this long non-coding RNA (209 nucleotides) under Nicotiana benthamiana. Its description in RNAcentral is "long non-coding RNA (NBEN_LNC037676)". The record is from RNAcentral. Lineage: Eukaryota; Viridiplantae; Streptophyta; Magnoliopsida; Solanales; Solanaceae.